This 1853-nucleotide long non-coding RNA is filed under the name Rattus norvegicus (Norway rat). RNAcentral's name for it is "partial HAfT10 cufflinks 00030744". Lineage: Eukaryota; Metazoa; Chordata; Mammalia; Rodentia; Muridae. The record is from RNAcentral.
UGAAAUAUGAAAGUUUUGAAGCAGAAAAAGUUUUCAUGUGUUUAAUUUUAAGUGGAAAAUUUAGAGCAAGAUGGGCACCCCCGACCCUGGAAUAACAGCAUGAAAGCAUGCUUGCAACCAUUAAAGGAAGGAAGUGGAGAGACCUCGGUGGGGUGCACACUUUUGGGUACAGAAGGGAGGGUGACUGUCUUUUCUGCAGCAGGCACUUCUUGGUAAGGUCAUAGUUUGGGAAGCGGAGGAGAAUGUGGGCCCCAGAAUGGGGUACUGGCAGGGCUCGAUCUUUCGUCCUUGAAACUCAUUGUCUGUGUUAGGUUCUGCAGAAGUAGGCCCAGAGAUGACUUUCAUAGUUCAGAUCCUGUGAGGUAUCCCAGGAAACACAGGCGAUGGCUGGGCCUGGGAAGGCAGUCUGGCAAAUCCAAAUGCCAGUGGUGGUGUACGCUUAGGUUUUGCUAAGGUAGCAGCAAUCCCAAGCCGAGUGUGACAUCUUUUGCUCACAUCAGUGGAGAAUGAACAGCAGUGACCUUCUGAGGCCUGUUUGAAAGGCCGGGUCAGGGUCGUUGAGUGUUCUCUGACUCUGAAGUGUCCGGGCUAUACAGACAUAAGGGCCUGCCACUGACAUAUUUGUGCUCAAAGCUGCUGGCCUCUGCUUCUCUGACUUGAGCUGCAGUAGUAGAAGGCCCAGUACUCCAUCCAGCAGCUACCUUAAGCACCCAUUGUGCCACCUCACAGCUUCCUUGAGGAGUGUUGUUUACAGCAAGGCAGAUUGGAUAUGCAGAGGUGCGAGCAUGGAUACUGAAGAGCUGGCUCUUACACUCUGGGAGCUGUAGGGGCUGAGAAGAGAUGGUAAAACACGGAAUACUUAAAAUAUGCACACUAAAGUAGAGACACUGGGCGUUCUGGGUGGGACUGGGGAGAGGUUUGAGAAAGAUGCCCGAGGGGACUCCUGAACGAGGAAUAGAAACGAAGCAGGCUGAGACAGAGGAGGGUUUGUAUCCUGGGAGGCACGCAGAAGUAAAUGGGUGGCAGACUGUGGCUGAAGUCGGGCAGGGGUGCAUGGGGCAGGGAACUAGAGGUGGGAGGGAGUGUGAGCUGGCUUUGAUGGAGGGUCUGAUGUGUUAUGCCUACACUCUUGGAUUUUUCUCUACAAGCAGCGGAACCUCCCAAACUUUUAGUCAGGAAAGGGACACAAGGAGAUCUGGGACAAGUGUGUGAGCUGGGGAAAGAAGAGGAGGGCCAGACAGAGUAAGAUAGUGUGAGAGGUAGGCCAGUGAGUUAGAAGCCAUUCCAUCAUGGAGGAGAGGCAGAAGAAUGACCAAAUGUGUGUGUACGUGUGUGUGUGUAUGGUGUUUGUAUGUGACUAUGUAUAUGUAUGUAUGAGUGCAUUCAAGAUGUCAUUUCUUAACUUGUUUGAGGCAAGCCUCUUGUUGUUUACUGCUAUGUAUGCCAGGGUAAGCCAACAAGCUUCUGGGAAUUUUCCCAUCUCCACCUUUGUCUUGCCAAGGAGAGUUGGGAUUACAGGUAUGCACUACUAUGACCCUUUUUAAAAAAAUUGCAUUAUUCAUUUUUUUUAUUCACCCAUUCAUUCCUUCUCUGUGUGUGUGUGUGUAAGUGCAUGCCACAGCUUGUGAACGGAAGUCAGAACAACUUGCAGGAGUAGAUUCUCUCCUGCUACCAUGUGAGUCCUGGAGAUAAAAGUCAGGUCCAACUCUGUAGCAAGUACCUUUACCUGCUGAUCCACCCCACCAUGCCCAGCACCUAGCUCCAUGGGGGUUCUGGAGAUCCGAACUCAGGUCCUUUGCUUGUGCUGCCGUACUUCACAGACUAAAGGACUAGAACAGGAGGGAAGGUGGAGC